This 497-nucleotide ribosomal RNA is filed under the name uncultured bacterium. Its description in RNAcentral is "partial 16S ribosomal RNA". It matches the Rfam family "Bacterial small subunit ribosomal RNA", at positions 28 to 507 of the family's 1533-position model. The record is from RNAcentral.
GAUGAACGCUGGCGGCGUGCCUAAUACAUGCAAGUCGAGCGAACGGACGAGAAGCUUGCUUCUCUGAUGUUAGCGGCGGACGGGUGAGUAACACGUGGAUAACCUACCUAUAAGACUGGGAUAACUUCGGGAAACCGGAGCUAAUACCGGAUAAUAUUUUGAACCGCAUGGUGCAAAAGUGAAAGACGGUCUUGCUGUCACUUAUAGAUGGAUCCGCGCUGCAUUAGCUAGUUGGUAAGGUAACGGCUUACCAAGGCAACGAUGCAUAGCCGACGUGAGAGGCGGAUAGGCCGCACUGGAGCUGAGACGCGGUCCAGGCUCCUACGGGAGGCAGCAGUCGGGUAUCGUCCGCAAUGGGCGAGAGCCUGACGGAGCGGCGCCGCGUGAGUUGUGAAGGUCUUCGGAUCGUAAAACUCUGUUAUUAGGGAAGAACAUAUGUGUAAGUAACUGUGCACAUCUUGACGGUACCUAAUCAGAAAGCCACGGCUAACUACGUG